GAUGAACGCUGGCGGCGUGCCUAAUACAUGCAAGUCGAGCGAACAGACGAGGAGCUUGCUCCUCUGACGUUAGCGGCGGACGGGUGAGUAACACGUGGAUAACCUACCUAUAAGACUUGGAUAACUUCGGGAAACCGGAGCUCAUACCGGAUAAUAUAUUUAACCGCAUGGUUCAAUAGUGAAAUACGGUUUUGCUGUCACUUAUAGAUGGAUCCGCGCCGCAUUAGCUAGUUGGUAAGGUAACGGCUUACCAAGGCAACGAUGCGUAGCCGACCUGAGAGGGGGAUGGCGCACAGAGAAAGUGAGAGGCGGUACAGACACCGAGGGGAGGCAGCAGUAGGGAAUCGACGGAAAAGGGGGAAAGACUGACGGAGCAACGCAGGGUGAGUGAUGAGGGGCUGCGGAGCGGAAAAAGGUGUUAUGAGGGAAGAACAAAUGUGUAAGGAACGAAGCACGUCGUGACGGUACCUAAUCAGAAAGCCACGGCUAACUACGUG
Molecule: ribosomal RNA, 497 nt
Filed under: uncultured bacterium
Lineage: Bacteria
Description: partial 16S ribosomal RNA
Rfam family: Bacterial small subunit ribosomal RNA
Source: RNAcentral